This 378-nucleotide unclassified non-coding RNA is filed under the name uncultured Alphaproteobacteria bacterium. Its description in RNAcentral is "contains 16S-23S intergenic spacer region". Lineage: Bacteria; Pseudomonadati; Pseudomonadota; Alphaproteobacteria. The record is from RNAcentral.
UCGCGGCUUAUCACCGGCAGUCCCCUUAGAGUGCCCAACUAAAUGAUGGCAACUAAGGGCGAGGGUUGCGCUCGUUGCGGGACUUAACCCAACAUCUCACGACACGAGCUGACGACAGCCAUGCAGCACCGUCUCACUAGUUCCCCGAAGGGCACCCCUCCAUCUCUGGAAGCUUCUAGUGGAUUUAACCCAGGUAAGGUUCUGCGCGUUGCGUCGAAUUGAACCACAUGCUCCACCGCUUGUGCAGGCCCCCGUCAAUUUCUUUGAGUUUUAACCUUGCGGCCGUACUCCCCAGGCGGAUGACUUAACGCGUUAGCUGCGCCACCGAAACGCCAAGCGCCCCGACAGCUAGUCAUCAUCGUUUACGGCGUGGACUAC